This 422-nucleotide ribosomal RNA is filed under the name uncultured bacterium. Its description in RNAcentral is "partial 16S ribosomal RNA". It matches the Rfam family "Bacterial small subunit ribosomal RNA", at positions 360 to 773 of the family's 1533-position model. The record is from RNAcentral.
AAUCUUCCGCAAUGGACGAAAGUCUGACGGAGCAUUGCAGCGUGAGUGAUGAAAGCCUUAGGGUCGUAAAACUCUGUUGUUAGGGAAGAAUAGGUAUCGGAGUAAUAUGCCGGUACUUUGAUGGUACCUUACCAGAAAGCCUCUGCUAAAUACGUGCUUGCAGCCGCGGUAAUACGUAGGGGGCGAGCGUUGUCCGGAAUUAUUGGGCGUAAAGGGCGCGCAGGCGGUUUCUUAAGUCUGAUGUGAAAUCUCGUGGCUUAGCCACGAGCGGUCGUUGGAAACUGGGAAACUUGAGUACAGAAGAGGAGAGUGGAAUUCCACGUUUAGCGGUGAAAUGCGUAGAGAUGUGGAGGAACACCAGUGGAGAAGGCGGCUCUUUGGUCUUUAACUGACGCUGAGGUGCGAAAGCGUGGGGAGCAAAC